Molecule: ribosomal RNA, 630 nt
Filed under: Bacillus sp. UST010723-004
Lineage: Bacteria; Bacillati; Bacillota; Bacilli; Caryophanales; Bacillaceae
Description: bacterial SSU rRNA
Rfam family: Bacterial small subunit ribosomal RNA
Source: RNAcentral
GUGAGUGAUGAAGGUUUUCGGAUCGUAAAACUCUGUUGUUAGGGAAGAACAAGUACCGUUCGAAUAGGGCGGUACCUUGACGGUACCUAACCAGAAAGCCACGGCUAACUACGUGCCAGCAGCCGCGGUAAUACGUAGGUGGCAAGCGUUGUCCGGAAUUAUUGGGCGUAAAGCGCGCGCAGGCGGUUUCUUAAGUCUGAUGUGAAAGCCCCCGGCUCAACCGGGGAGGGUCAUUGGAAACUGGGGAACUUGAGUGCAGAAGAGGAGAGUGGAAUUCCACGUGUAGCGGUGAAAUGCGUAGAGAUGUGGAGGAACACCAGUGGCGAAGGCGACUCUCUGGUCUGUAACUGACGCUGAGGCGCGAAAGCGUGGGGAGCGAACAGGAUUAGAUACCCUGGUAGUCCACGCCGUAAACGAUGAGUGCUAAGUGUUAGAGGUUUCCGCCCUUUAGUGCUGCAGCAAACGCAUUAAGCACUCCGCCUGGGGAGUACGGUCGCAAGACUGAAACUCAAAGGAAAUUGACGGGGGCCCGCACAAGCGGUGGAGCAUGUGGUUUAAUUCGAAGCAACGCGAAGAACCUUACCAGGUCUUGACAUCCUCUGACAACCCUAGAGAUAGGGCUUCCCUUCG